GCGAGAGUGGCGGAAUUGGCAGACGCGCUGGACUUAGGAUCCAGUGAUUCCACAAUCGUGGGGGUUCGAGUCCCCCCUCUCGCA
This 84-nucleotide transfer RNA is filed under the name Candidatus Eiseniibacteriota bacterium. RNAcentral's name for it is "tRNA-Leu". It matches the Rfam family "tRNA". From Rfam's summary of the family: Transfer RNA (tRNA) molecules are approximately 80 nucleotides in length. Lineage: Bacteria; Candidatus Eiseniibacteriota. The record is from RNAcentral.